RNAcentral lists this ribosomal RNA (497 nucleotides) under uncultured bacterium. RNAcentral's name for it is "partial 16S ribosomal RNA". It matches the Rfam family "Bacterial small subunit ribosomal RNA", at positions 28 to 507 of the family's 1533-position model. The record is from RNAcentral.
GAUGAACGCUGGCGGCGUGCCUAAUACAUGCAAGUCGAGCGAACAGAUGAGGAGCUUGCUCCUCUGACGUUAGCGGCGGACGGGUGAGUAACACGUGGAUAACCUACCUAUAAGACUGGGAUAACUUCGGGAAACCGGAGCUAAUACCGGAUAAUAUAUUGAACCGCAUGGUUCAAUAGUGAAAGACGGUUUUGCUGUCACUUAUAGAUGGAUCCGCGCCGCAUUAGCUAGUUGGUAAGGUAACGGCUUACCAAGGCGACGAUGCGUAGCCGACCUGAGAGGGUGAUCGGCCACACUGGAACUGAGACACGGUCCAGACUCCUACGGGAGGCAGCAGUAGGGAAUCUUCCGCAAUGGGCGAAAGCUUGACGGAGCAACGCCGCGUGAGUGAUGAAGGUCUUCGGAUCGUAAAACUCUGUUAUUAGGGAAGAACAAAUGUGUAAGUAACUAUGCACGUCUUGACGGUACCUAACCAGAAAGCCACGGCUAACUACGUG